Spea bombifrons (plains spadefoot toad) is the source of this 72-nucleotide small nucleolar RNA. RefSeq annotates it as small nucleolar RNA SNORD24. NCBI's taxonomy places the organism in Eukaryota, Metazoa, Chordata, Amphibia, Anura, Pelobatidae. The transcript has a single exon. The record is from RefSeq and is a predicted model, not a curated record.
CGCAGAUGAUGUAAUUUAAUAUUUGCUAUCUGAACACUGUGAUUACACACUUCCACCAAGAUCGCUGAUGCA